UCUCAGUUCGGAUUGUAGGCUGCAACCCGCCUGCGUGAAGUUGGAAUCGCUAGUAAUCGCGGAUCAGCAUGCCGCGGUGAAUACGUUCCCGGGCCUUGUACACACCGCCCGUCACACCAUGAGAGUCGGGAACACCCGAAGUCCGUAGCCUAACCGCAAGGGGGGCGCGGCCGAAGGUGGGUUCGAUAAUUGGGGUGAAGUCGUAACAAGGUACC
This 215-nucleotide ribosomal RNA is filed under the name uncultured bacterium. RNAcentral's name for it is "partial 16S ribosomal RNA". It matches the Rfam family "Bacterial small subunit ribosomal RNA", at positions 1286 to 1500 of the family's 1533-position model. The record is from RNAcentral.